GACGAACGCUGGCGGCGUGCUUAACACAUGCAAGUCGAACGGAAAGGCCCUGCUUUUGUGGGGUGCUCGAGUGGCGAACGGGUGAGUAACACGUGAGUAACCUGCCCUUGACUUUGGGAUAACUUCAGGAAACUGGGGCUAAUACCGGAUAGGAGCUCCUGCUGCAUGGUGGGGGUUGGAAAGUUUCGGCGGUUGGGGAUGGACUCGCGGCUUAUCAGCUUGUUGGUGGGGUAGUGGCUUACCAAGGCUUUGACGGGUAGCCGGCCUGAGAGGGGGACCGGCCACAUUGCGACUGAGAUACGGCCCAGACUCCUACGGGACGCAGCAGUGGGGAAUAUUGCACAAUGGGCGGAAGCCUGAUGCAGCGACGCCGCGUGCGGGAUGACGGCCUUCGGGUUGUAAACCGCUGUCUCCUGUGACGAAGCGUGAGUGACGGUAAUGGGUAAAGAAGCAACGGCUAACUACGUG
Molecule: ribosomal RNA, 468 nt
Filed under: uncultured bacterium
Lineage: Bacteria
Description: partial 16S ribosomal RNA
Rfam family: Bacterial small subunit ribosomal RNA
Source: RNAcentral